CGCUGGCGGCGUGCUUAAUACAUGCAAGUCGAACGGAGCAUUAGGAAGCUUGCUUCUUGAUGCUUAGUGGCGACGGGUGAGUAACGCGUGAGGAAUCUGCCUUAUUCAGGGGGACAACAGUUAGAAAUGACUGCUAAUACCGCAUAAGACCACAGUACCGCAUGGUACAGGGUAAAGAGUUUGUAUCGGAAUAAGAUGACCUCGCGUCCCAUUAGCUAGUUGGUGGAGGUAACGGCCUACCAAGGCGACGAUGGGUAGCCGAUCUGAGAGGAUAAUCGGCCACACUGGAACUGAGAAACGGACCAGACUCCUACGGGAGGCAGCAGUAGGGAAUAUUGGGCAAUGGGCGCAAGCCUGACCCAGCAACGCCGCGUGAAGGAAGAAGGCCUUAGGGUUGUAAACUUCUUUUAAGGGGGAAGAGCAGAAGACGGUACCCCUAGAAUAAGCCACGGCUAACUACGUG
RNAcentral lists this ribosomal RNA (463 nucleotides) under uncultured bacterium. RNAcentral's name for it is "bacterial SSU rRNA". It matches the Rfam family "Bacterial small subunit ribosomal RNA", at positions 34 to 507 of the family's 1533-position model. The record is from RNAcentral.